Molecule: non-coding RNA, 71 nt
Organism: Angiostrongylus cantonensis (rat lungworm)
Lineage: Eukaryota; Metazoa; Nematoda; Chromadorea; Rhabditida; Metastrongylidae
Source: Rfam
GCAUUGGUGGUUCAGUGGUAGAAUGCUCCCCUGCCACGCGGGCGACCCCGGUUCGAUUCCCGGCCAAUGCA